GGAGUUGACCAGACAGUCGCCGCUUCAUUGCCGUCCUCUUCGGGGAGACAGAUGGAGGGGAGGAAAGUCCGGGCUCCAUAGGGCAGGGUGCCAGGUAACGCCUGGGAGGCGCAAGCCUACGACUAGUGCAACAGAGAGCAAACCGCCGAUGGCCCGCGCAAGCGGGAUCAGGUAAGGGUGAAAGGGUGCGGUAAGAGCGCACCGCGCGGCUGGCAACAGUUCGUGGCACGGUAAACUCCACCCGGAGCAAGGCCAAAUAGGGGUUCA
This 267-nucleotide RNase P RNA is filed under the name Serratia marcescens. Its description in RNAcentral is "partial RNase P RNA component class A". It matches the Rfam family "Bacterial RNase P class A", at positions 1 to 242 of the family's 367-position model. Rfam says of the family: Ribonuclease P (RNase P) is a ubiquitous endoribonuclease, found in archaea, bacteria and eukarya as well as chloroplasts and mitochondria. Its best characterised activity is the generation of mature 5'-ends of tRNAs by cleaving the 5'-leader elements of precursor-tRNAs. The record is from RNAcentral. Lineage: Bacteria; Pseudomonadati; Pseudomonadota; Gammaproteobacteria; Enterobacterales; Yersiniaceae.